GACGAACGCUGGCGGCGUGCUUAACACAUGCAAGUCGAGCGAGGGGCUUCGGCUCCUAGCGGCGAACGGGUGAGUAACACGUGGGCAACCUGCCCCGAGCUCUGGAAUAACUUCGGGAAACCGGGGCUAAUGCCGGAUAUGACAUCACUGGGCAUCUGGUGGUGUGGAAAGAUUUAUCGGCUCGGGAUGGGCCCGCGGCCUAUCAGCUUGUUGGUGGGGUGAUGGCCUACCAAGGCGACGACGGGUAGCCGGCCUGAGAGGGCGACCGGCCACACUGGGACUGAGACACGGCCCAGACUCCUACGGGAGGCAGCAGUGGGGAAUAUUGCGCAAUGGGCGAAAGCCUGACGCAGCGACGCCGCGUGGGGGAUGACGGCC
RNAcentral lists this ribosomal RNA (378 nucleotides) under Frankia sp. Its description in RNAcentral is "bacterial SSU rRNA". It matches the Rfam family "Bacterial small subunit ribosomal RNA", at positions 28 to 416 of the family's 1533-position model. Lineage: Bacteria; Bacillati; Actinomycetota; Actinomycetes; Frankiales; Frankiaceae. The record is from RNAcentral.